AAAUGUGCGCAGUGGCAGUAUCGUAGCCAAUGAGGUUUAUCCGAGGCGCGAUUAUUGCUAUAGAUGUACAGUUUAUUAACGUUAAGUACGUUCACGUUUUGUGCAACAAAUCUGUGGAGCUCUUUUCUCAUCUUGAAAAACAGA
This is a small nuclear RNA of Mustela erminea (ermine), 144 nucleotides long. RefSeq annotates it as U4 spliceosomal RNA. The record is from RefSeq and is a predicted model, not a curated record. Lineage: Eukaryota; Metazoa; Chordata; Mammalia; Carnivora; Mustelidae. The transcript has a single exon.